GGCAAGACAAAGGUGAAGUGGGCAGAGCUAAGGUUCUGGGGUGGGGGCUUGGAGGACAGAAAGGCUCUUGGGAAGGAGGAGACAGACAGGAAGAGAGGAGGAAGGAGGAAGCCACUGUGGGUUAGGUGGAGAGAGAACCGUGUGGGCUGGGAGGAAGGGCUCCGAGAAUGGCGCAGAUAGAGACAGCAACCCAGAUGAAGAAUAAGCCAGUAUUUACGGAAUUAUGGAUGGCAGCAACGCUUCAGGGAGACCAGACUCGUUCCACAGAAUGGGCAAGUUGACGGCAACGCCUCCUUUCACUAGAUACCCCAUCUCCAUCCUCAUGUUGGAGUCAAGGCUUGGGCACCCGUCCGUGGAGGCUGGUCCCCAAAGUUCUCCUCCCCAACUAAAACCUCACCUUCUCUUUGCGAAGCCUUUCUAACCCUGUGCCGAUGAUUACACACAUACACAAAUGCUUUUGAAUCCUCCCUCAGUACCCUCACAAACCCAUACAACAUACUUGCCCAUAAAUACUGUCUUGUACAGAAUUACCUGACGGGGGCUCACACCCAUGUCUGUAUGCAUACACAUGCUCCCAUGCACCCGAAUUGUCACUCAGAUGCAGCCAAAGGGCAGGAGUCUCUGGGCAUUUACCUCUCAGAUGCUGCUGCAGUUUCUUCUCCAACGGCCUGUCUUGUUUUCCCUGAAAUCCAACUGCCCUUAAAUAGCUGUUCCUUCCUCGGGGUUGGGGGUGGUGAGGUCCAGCCAGGGAGUAGGAGGCGUGGCCAAAUAGUGGGCUCAUAGAUGGGCAUACCCAAACGCCCUGGGUAAUUCCCCUUUCUUCCCCUCAUCAUCUGGCAGGACAGCCUCGAGACCUGGAAAAUCCUUCAUUUCAUGGGUUGAUGCCAUAAUAAAUUUCAGCUGAUUUUGAAACCUCGCUCAGCUGCUGAAAAACAGGGCUGAGCUCCUGACUCGGAAAGUUUCCGUAAGCCCAUCUGGGUGUGACCACCAUCACCUCCCAUCAGCCACUUCAAAGAGCGGGCAAGGACUGUGUACAGCAGAGGGAAUGAGGGUGUAAGCCUGGAAUGUUCCUUUCUUCUGAUAAAUUGCGACACUUGGGAAAGGGAAA
This is a long non-coding RNA of Meriones unguiculatus (Mongolian gerbil), 1108 nucleotides long. RefSeq lists it as uncharacterized. NCBI's taxonomy places the organism in Eukaryota, Metazoa, Chordata, Mammalia, Rodentia, Muridae. The transcript is spliced from 2 exons. The record is from RefSeq and is a predicted model, not a curated record.